GGAGUCGGCCAGACAGUCGCGUCAUCGGAAACGAUGCCGAGGAAAGUCCGGGCUCCACAGGGCACGGUGCCAGGUAACGCCUGGGCGGCGCGAGCCGACGGAAAGUGCAACAGAAAGAUACCGCCAGCGGUCCUUCGGGAUGCGGGCAAGGGUGAAAUGGUGCGGUAAGAGCGCACCGCGAGCCUGGUAACAGGCCGGCACGGCAAACCCCACCGGGAGCAAGGCCAAAUAGGGACCUCAUGACGUUGCCCGCGUCGGGUCCGGGUAGGCUGCUCGAGCGUAACGGUGACGUUGCGCCUAGAGGAAUGACUGUCCACGACAGAACCCGGCUUACCGGCCGGCUCCGCCA
This 349-nucleotide RNase P RNA is filed under the name Pseudoxanthomonas daejeonensis. RNAcentral describes it as "RNase P RNA component class A". It matches the Rfam family "Bacterial RNase P class A". Rfam says of the family: Ribonuclease P (RNase P) is a ubiquitous endoribonuclease, found in archaea, bacteria and eukarya as well as chloroplasts and mitochondria. Lineage: Bacteria; Pseudomonadati; Pseudomonadota; Gammaproteobacteria; Lysobacterales; Lysobacteraceae. The record is from RNAcentral.